Molecule: ribosomal RNA, 438 nt
Filed under: Clavibacter michiganensis
Lineage: Bacteria; Bacillati; Actinomycetota; Actinomycetes; Micrococcales; Microbacteriaceae
Description: bacterial SSU rRNA
Rfam family: Bacterial small subunit ribosomal RNA
Source: RNAcentral
UUUAUGGAGAGUUUGAUCCUGGCUCAGGACGAACGCUGGCGGCGUGCUUAACACAUGCAAGUCGAACGGUGAUGUCAGAGCUUGCUCUGGCGGAUCAGUGGCGAACGGGUGAGUAACACGUGAGUAACCUGCCCCCGACUCUGGGAUAACUGCUAGAAAUGGUAGCUAAUACCGGAUAUGACGAUUGGCCGCAUGGUCUGGUCGUGGAAAGAAUUUCGGUUGGGGAUGGACUCGCGGCCUAUCAGGUUGUUGGUGAGGUAAUGGCUCACCAAGCCUACGACGGGUAGCCGGCCUGAGAGGGUGACCGGCCACACUGGGACUGAGACACGGCCCAGACUCCUACGGGAGGCAGCAGUGGGGAAUAUUGCACAAUGGGCGAAAGCCUGAUGCAGCAACGCCGCGUGAGGGAUGACGGCCUUCGGGUUGUAAACCUCUUUU